RNAcentral lists this unclassified non-coding RNA (236 nucleotides) under plant metagenome. RNAcentral's name for it is "partial contains small subunit ribosomal RNA, internal transcribed spacer 1, and 5.8S ribosomal RNA". The record is from RNAcentral.
UUUCCGUAGGUGAACCUGCGGAAGGAUCAUUACUGAGUUAGGGCCCCUCGGGGUCCAACCUCCCACCCGUGUUUAACGAACCUUGUUGCUUCGGCGGGCCCGCCUCACGGCCGCCGGGGGGCAUCUGGCCCCGGGCCCCCGCCCGCCGAAGCCACCUGUGAACGCUGUAUGAAGUAUGCAGUCUGAGACAAUUAUUAUAUUAAUUAAAACUUUCAACAACGGAUCUCUUGGUUCCG